AACGCACCUUGCGCCCCUUGGUAUUCCGAGGGGCAUGCCUGUUUGAGUGUCUUGAAAUCAUCAAACCGAACCGGUCUUUGUUGGCCGGCGCGGUUUGGACUUGGGGGUUUCCUUGCUGCCGCUCGCGGUGGCUCCCCUUAAAUUCAUCGGUCGGGCUUUCGUGCGGCUCUGUCCCUUGGCGUUGUAUUACCCUCGUCGCUGGAUGGCUCGCGAUACUGCGCCCUUCUUUGACCUGCCUCUGGAGCGGCGGUCUUCAACUUUUGUGAUCUGACCUCAAAUCAGGUAGGACUACCCGCUGAACUUAA
RNAcentral lists this unclassified non-coding RNA (305 nucleotides) under uncultured fungus. RNAcentral's name for it is "sequence contains ITS2". The stretch from base 1 to 52 matches the Rfam family "5.8S ribosomal RNA", at positions 103 to 154 of the family's 154-position model. Lineage: Eukaryota; Fungi. The record is from RNAcentral.